Molecule: non-coding RNA, 204 nt
Filed under: Streptococcus pneumoniae
Lineage: Bacteria; Bacillati; Bacillota; Bacilli; Lactobacillales; Streptococcaceae
Source: RNAcentral
GAGAACUCUUAUCUUGAAAAUUGGAAUGAAGGGGUAACGCCCUGAAACGAUUUCUCUAAUACUCCGACAUGCGUUUAUCUUGUGCAAAGGUAAAGGUUUGAAGCUCGGUGAAGUCGGCUGAAAGAUACCGUCAUUCUUAAGGACUUAAGAAUCGAAAGUGUUCCAGAGGUGGAAUAUGUAUCUGAUAGGUCGGGAGUCAUUAAA